GUGGGGAAUAUUGCGCAAUGGGCGAAAGCCUGACGCAGCAACGCCGCGUGGGGGAUGAAGGUUUUCGGAUUGUAAACCCCUUUCGACCGGAACGAAUCCCCUCCUGGUAAAUAAUCAGGAGGAUCGACGGUACCGGGAGAAGAAGCCACGGCUAACUCUGUGCCAGCAGCCGCGGUAAGACAGAGGUGGCGAGCGUUGUUCGGAUUUACUGGGCGUAAAGCGCACGCAGGCGGUUUGGUAAGUCAGGGGUGAAAGCCCACAGCUUAACUGUGGAACUGCCUUUGAUACUGCCUUUCUAGAGUGCAUGAGGGGGAAGCGGAAUUCCGAGUGUAGAGGUGAAAUUCGUAGAUAUUCGGAGGAACACCGGUGGCGAAGGCGGCUUCCUGGCAUGUAACUGACGCUCAGGUGCGAAAGCGUGGGUAGCAAACAGGAUUAGAAACCCGGGUAGUCC
This 451-nucleotide ribosomal RNA is filed under the name uncultured bacterium. RNAcentral describes it as "bacterial SSU rRNA". It matches the Rfam family "Bacterial small subunit ribosomal RNA", at positions 354 to 796 of the family's 1533-position model. The record is from RNAcentral.